AAUGGGCGAAAGCCUGAUCCAGCUACGCCGCGUGUGUGAAGAAGGCCCUCGGGUCGUAAAGCACUGUCGGGAGGGACGAGCCUCGGGUCGACGGUACCUCGCAAGAAAGCACCGGCUAACUCCGUGCCAGCAGCCGCGGUAAUACGGAGGGUGCGAGCGUUGCUCGGAAUUACUGGGCGUAAAGCGGGCGCAGGCGGCACGUCAAGUCAGUUGUGAAAGCCCGGAGCUCAGCUCCGGAACUGCAGCUGAAACUGACGAGCUUGAGUACGAGAGAGGAGAGCGGAAUUCCUGGUGUAGAGGUGAAAUUCGUAGAUAUCAGGAGGAACAUCAGCGGCGAAGGCGGCUCUCUGGCUCGAUACUGACGCUCAUGCCCGAAAGCGUGGGGAGCAAACAGGAUU
This 398-nucleotide ribosomal RNA is filed under the name uncultured delta proteobacterium. RNAcentral describes it as "bacterial SSU rRNA". It matches the Rfam family "Bacterial small subunit ribosomal RNA", at positions 370 to 779 of the family's 1533-position model. Lineage: Bacteria; Deltaproteobacteria. The record is from RNAcentral.